Molecule: microRNA precursor, 82 nt
Filed under: Oncorhynchus kisutch (coho salmon)
Lineage: Eukaryota; Metazoa; Chordata; Actinopteri; Salmoniformes; Salmonidae
Also listed under: 4 other names
Description: mir-221 microRNA precursor family
Rfam family: mir-221 microRNA precursor family
Source: Rfam by way of RNAcentral
UUGGUCAGUUGCUCAGUAGGCAGUGUAGAUCCUGUAUAAUGAUCAGCAGCUACAUCUGGCUACUGGGUCUCUGAAGACACGC